AGACUAAAGGGGUGCUAUCCAUUUUGUGCGGCUCAGGUACAGAUCCGUUGGAACACGGUAUCAUAGAGGGUGAGAAUCCCGUCCAUGACCUGAGUGAAUCCGUGCAUUAUUGCGUUGCGCUUCCGAAGAGUCGGGUUGUUUGGGAAUGCAGCCCAAAAUGGGUGGUAAACUUCAUCUAAGGCUAAAUAUAGGCACGAGACCGAUAGCGAACAAGUACCGUGAGGGAAAGAUGAAAAGCACUUUGAAAAGAGAGUCAAAAAGUACGUGAAACCGUUAAGUGGGAAACAAAUAGGGCUAGCAUUUGUGCAGGCCACAAUCAGCCGGACGCUUUUGCAGAUGUAGUAGUGGUAUUUAUUUUUGGAGAGCCUCUCGAGCCUGCUUGCAGGAUGCCGAGGAGCCUCACGCUAUUGCAAAACAUUUUCUGUAAAGGUGCAAAGCCGGUGCACUUGUGGUCCGUAUCAGGCCAACAUCAGUUCGGUAUUCUUGCCAAACGAAAGAGACAGGAACCUUUAGGGGAAGGUGGCCAGCAGUAGGCUUUGCCAAUUGCUGGUGUUUAUAGCCCCUUUAGGAAAAUUUCUAACGUCGCGGCCCGGACUGAGGAAACGCAGCAGCACGCCUCUUUCCCUAUGGCUUCUUGCCGGAUGGAAGGGGAACCUUGCAGAGCUCUCGCUGUGGCGCCAGGCAACUAGGACUGAUUCUAAUAGGGUCAGUGUUGGAAGUCUAUCUGUGCGCUUCACCUUACGAGCAACGAGAGUCUACGCAUUAUACGUGCUUGUGAUGUUGGCGAAAUGGCUUUAUCUGACCCGUCUUGAAACACGGACCAAGGAGUCUAACAUAUACGCGAGUCUUUGGGUGGCAAACCCGCGGGCAUAAUGAAAGUGAAGGUGGGCCUUGUCGCACACCGAGGUGAGACGCUUCUUCUCUCGGGAAGGGGCCGCAUCAUCGACCGAUCCGGAAGGGCCGGCUGAGGUUCGCCUUGGUCUGGAUUUCUGAAAGAUUUGAGUAAGAGCGUAUCUGUUGGGACCCGAAAGAUGGUGAACUAUGCCUGAACAGGGUGAAGUCUGGGGAAACUCAGAUGGAAGCUCGCAGCGGUUUUGACGUGCAAAUCAAUCGUCGGAUUUGGGUAUAGGGGCGAAAGACUAAUCGAACCAUCUAGUAGCUGGUUCCCUCCGAAAUUUCCCUCAGGAUAGCUGGAACUCGAAAUGCAGUUUUAUCAGGUAAAGCGAAUGAUUAGAGGCCUUGGGGUCGAAAUGACCUCAACCUAUUCUCAAACUUUAAAUGGGUAAGAAGCGCGACUUGCUUAAUUGAAGCCGUGCCAACCGAAUGCAGAGUUCCAAGUGGGCCAUUUUUGGUAAGCAGAACUGGCGAUGCGGAAUGAACCGAACGCGAAGUUAAAGUGCCAAAGUUCACGCUCACCUAGAACCCAUAAAAGGUGUUGGCUGAUGAAGACAGCAGGACGGUGGCCAUGGAAGUCGGAACCCGCCAAGGAGUGUGUAACAACUCACCUGCCGAAUCAGCCAGCCCUGAAAAUGGAUGGCGCUCAAGCGUGACACUCAUACUUCGCCGUUGCCGCAAACAAGGUGCAUACUCUUUAUUUUGCCGCAACGAGUAGGAGGGCGUGGAGAUAAGUGAAGCAGCUUCGGGCGUGAGCCUGAGUGAAACUGUC
RNAcentral lists this ribosomal RNA (1666 nucleotides) under Astreptonema gammari. RNAcentral describes it as "eukaryotic LSU rRNA". It matches the Rfam family "Eukaryotic large subunit ribosomal RNA", at positions 147 to 1437 of the family's 3401-position model. The record is from RNAcentral. Lineage: Eukaryota; Ichthyosporea; Ichthyophonida; Eccrinaceae.